AAGGAAAAUUACAAAUUGAGGACGUUUGUGUUGGCACCCUGCAAGCGAUCAAAUCGCCCGCCCCGUGAUCGAAGCAGACGCGACACGAAAAGGGUUUCGGCGGCUGGUCCACUCGACCAGCGAUGGCGCGGGAGGCGACGGACUUCCACCUCCCCGACGAACUGCUCGCGGUGAUCCCUGUCGACCCCUACGACCAGCUCGACCUCGCGCGGCGGAUCGCCUCCCUGGCCAUCACCUCCCGCGUCUCCCACCUGGAAGGGGAGGCUGACCGUCUGCGUCAGAUGAUCACCGACCGUGAUCUGGUUAUCGAGGACCUCCACGGCAAGAUCGCUCACCUCGAUCGCUUGGUCCAAGUGUCCGAUGCUCGCCUCAGGGAUAUGGACGAAGAGAACGCUAAGCUUUCUAGGGAACGGCAGAUGCUGACUACGACCUCGAAGAAAAUGGCCAGAGAAUUAUCGAAGUUGGAGAUGUUCAAGAGUCAACUGAUGGACUCAUUAAGCGGUGACAGGUUACCUCAACAAUCAGAUUCUGUUGAUAUUGGAAUGCAAAAACCGCCAAUUGCUAGAGUAUCUUCUUGGAGAGAUGAUGAUAAUAUUAGUCAAAUGGUUGCAAAUGAAUCAGCUGAAAUAAAAGAAACAGGAGAGUCCAGUCAAGAUGAUCCUAGUAUGCAUCAGUUCUCAAUCACACCAUACAUCUCGCCAAAGCUGACCCCUACCACCACACCAAAAGGUUCUUCAACUAAUGGUACUCCUAUAGGAUUCUCAACUAUCAGAUCAUCACCUAUAUUCUUGUCUGGAGCAACAUCACCAACAACAUCUCAAUAUGGAGAGCAUGGUUCUAUGUCGCCUUUGUAUGCUUCCAGUCAGCAAUCUUCUACAGCCAGUUCUCCUCCUCAUAGGCAAUCAUUGCCAGGACGUAAUUCUCGUACAGACGGAAAGGAACUCUUCCGUCAAGCAAGGAUCCGCCUCUCAUAUGAGCAAUUUGCUGCAUUUUUGGCCAAUGUCAAGGAGUUCAAUGCUCAUAGACAGUCAAGCAAGGAUACUUUGGCAAAGGCUGACAAAAUUUUCGGUACAGAGAACAAAGAUCUCUAUUUCACCUUCCAGAGCUUGGUAAAUCGUGCCAGACAAUAGAUAUAAAGGGUGACAUGCAAAUUACUCAUUGUUCACAUCCUCUCUUAUUAGUACAGCCACUGAAGACAUUGCUGCAUAGGAAAGGAUUUCACCGUAACCUUCACGAAGGUCCAGGGCCCUCACUCCGCCGGACCCAGGGAGCUCGAAGAAGGUCGGGGUCGCCGAAGCAGGAACCGGAGGCGGCGACGGCGGAGUCGCGGAGGAAGGAAGGAUAGCGAAGAGGGGAGCGGAAGAGAGGAGCAGGGCGGAGGAGGAGAACAGUGACCUCCUCGUCGUCGGGUGCGGAAUUCUGUUGGUUAGGGUUUUGCGAUGAAAUUGGGGAUUGGAGGAGGAAGACGGCGCCAGUGACAAGGCCGUCGCCAUUGUUUUUUUUUUUUUUUUUUUUUUUCUAAAA
RNA transcript from Zingiber officinale, 1524 nucleotides. RefSeq lists it as uncharacterized. The record is from RefSeq and is a predicted model, not a curated record. The transcript is spliced from 11 exons. NCBI's taxonomy places the organism in Eukaryota, Viridiplantae, Streptophyta, Magnoliopsida, Zingiberales, Zingiberaceae.